RNAcentral lists this ribosomal RNA (269 nucleotides) under uncultured bacterium. Its description in RNAcentral is "partial 16S ribosomal RNA". It matches the Rfam family "Bacterial small subunit ribosomal RNA", at positions 1232 to 1500 of the family's 1533-position model. The record is from RNAcentral.
GGCGUAAACAAAGGGAAGCGAGACGGCGACGUUAAGCAAAUCCCAGAAAUAACGUCCCAGUUCGGAUUGUAGUCUGCAACCCGACUACAUGAAGCUGGAAUCGCUAGUAAUCGCGGAUCAGAAUGCCGCGGUGAAUACGUUCCCGGGUCUUGUACACACCGCCCGUCACACCAUGGGAGUCGGAAAUGCCCGAAGUCAGUGACCUAACCGAAAGGAAGGAGCUGCCGAAGGUGGAGCCGGUAACUGGGGUGAAGUCGUAACAAGGUAGC